GUACUAUUCACACACAAAUAAUAUCUUGCUACAAUAUUUAUUUUAUGGCAAAAAAUAGACUAUAAUAUAUUCACUUCACAUAUAUCACAUUCAUUCAAACUCUUUUGCCUAUUAAAUGUACACACUUUUACAAACCAAUGGCAGCUCAGAUUUAAGCUCUUCUGAUUAUACAUUAUAUACUGUUUUUACAUUGUUGAUCACCAGACAGUACCACAUAAAAUUGCUUUUUAAACUAGAAAAUACGCAACAACUACAUAUACCAUGUGAUUUUGAAAAGGCAGAAUUCCCAAUGCAUUGCUUGAAUUAUAGGGAACUUUCUGAGAAAAUGUAUUUCAUAAAAAUUGUCUCUAAAUAUUUAAGUUUCUGCGGACAUUUGAGUCAUAUUAACAGCAGCUGGAAUUUUUAAAUACAUUAUUAUCCAGAUAUUCAUUUUUAAACUAUGCUUUGCUUAAUUUGCUAUGGGUGGGGUUUGGACUGCUUCAGUUUGUAACAAAGAAAUAUACAACAACAUCCUGUCUCGUUGCAGCAAUCUUCACCUGAACCAAGUAGGACUGUUGGAACAUCCCCCUCGAGCACAGCCGAGGGAGACACUGACGUGGCUUCACAGGAAAACAUUUAAUGUCCGCGUGAUAAAAGCUGUUUUAUAUUUUAAUGUAAAAAAUUACUUGAGAAUACAGUAAAAAGCAGCAAAUAUAUUCUAAAGGCCCAGUGCCAACCUUCGGAGUAAGGUUUAACUGUUCAAGUUUUUUAAGGCUUAAUA
RNAcentral lists this long non-coding RNA (760 nucleotides) under Bos taurus (domestic cattle). RNAcentral's name for it is "long non-coding RNA NONBTAT002909". The record is from RNAcentral. Lineage: Eukaryota; Metazoa; Chordata; Mammalia; Artiodactyla; Bovidae.